Molecule: unclassified non-coding RNA, 302 nt
Filed under: Hevea brasiliensis (rubber tree)
Lineage: Eukaryota; Viridiplantae; Streptophyta; Magnoliopsida; Malpighiales; Euphorbiaceae
Source: RNAcentral
AGACUUUAGAGCCUUGACGAGAGAGAAUAGGAGAGUUUGAAGCUAUGUCAGUUGAUGCUCUUGCUAUGUCGGGUGCAGAUUACAUGAAGUGCACUGUUCAUUUUGAAGAUACUAAUACGAAUCAGAGGACCUCGGAAAGGACACCACAGUACCUUCUUGCUGAUGAAAGUGACGGAGGGAAUCAUGAUCACGGGCAAUGGUUAGGACAGGCAAGGAGACGAGCAAACGUCAACGUUCAAGCUGAGGCCACAGCAUCAUAGCACAAAUGAGGCCUUCUCCAGGAAAUUAUGUACUUGUUUGGA